RNAcentral lists this ribosomal RNA (265 nucleotides) under uncultured bacterium. Its description in RNAcentral is "partial 16S ribosomal RNA". It matches the Rfam family "Bacterial small subunit ribosomal RNA", at positions 355 to 636 of the family's 1533-position model. The record is from RNAcentral.
CAGGGAAUUUUGCACAAUGGACGGAAGUCUGAUGCAGCGACGCCGCGUGGGUGAAGAAGGCCUUCGGGUCGUAAAACCCUUUUCUGGGGGAAGAGGAAGGACGGUACUCCAGGCUUAAGUGUCGGCUAACUACGUGCCAGCAGCCGCGGUAAUACGUAGGCCACGAGCGUUAUCCGGAUUUACUGGGCGUAAAGCUCCUGUAGGCGGUUUCGUAAGUCGGAGGUGAAAGCCCCAGGAUUAACCUGGGGAGGCCAUUCGAUACUGC